Molecule: unclassified non-coding RNA, 365 nt
Filed under: Hevea brasiliensis (rubber tree)
Lineage: Eukaryota; Viridiplantae; Streptophyta; Magnoliopsida; Malpighiales; Euphorbiaceae
Source: RNAcentral
AAGCAGUUGUUGCUCUACCACUUGCAAGUGUGAAAGAACAACCAAUAACUUGAGAGAACAACGAUCAUGCAAGAACAAGGACAAAUUCAGAUUCCAACUCCAACAUUACAAGUCUCCACACAAAGCAAAGAUCAUGUUUCUUACAUGCGAGCCAUAUUAAUGAUAGAAGAAGUUCAUGUACAUCACCAGUCUUAAAACUCCAGAGACACUUGGAUAACUUUAUAGCUCCCAGCUGUGUCCAAAGUCAGUUUUCACUUCUUCCCUCGCAGCUUCGCACCAAGAGCCCUCUCCAGUUUUCCUAUUAUCUGUUGAUUAGGAAUUGCUUUUCCAGACUCAUACUCUUGUAUUAUCUGGGGCUUCUCAUU